Molecule: ribosomal RNA, 253 nt
Filed under: uncultured bacterium
Lineage: Bacteria
Also listed under: 1 other name
Description: partial 16S ribosomal RNA
Rfam family: Bacterial small subunit ribosomal RNA
Source: RNAcentral
UACAGAGGCCUCGAGCGUUAGGCGGAAUCACUGGGCUUAAAGCGUGUGUAGGUGGAUGCCUAAGUACCUUGUGAAAUCCCACGGCUUAACCGUGGAACUGCUGGGUAUACUGGGCGUCUUGAGCCACUCAGGGGCUACCGGAACAAACGGUGGAGCGGUGAAAUGCGUAGAUAUCGUUUGGAACGCCAAUGGUGAAAACAGGUAGCUGGGGGUGUGCUGACACUGAGACACGAAAGCCAGGGGAGCAAACGGG